This 457-nucleotide ribosomal RNA is filed under the name uncultured bacterium. RNAcentral's name for it is "partial 16S ribosomal RNA". It matches the Rfam family "Bacterial small subunit ribosomal RNA", at positions 338 to 795 of the family's 1533-position model. The record is from RNAcentral.
CCUACGGGUGGCAGCAGUGGGGAAUAUUGCACAAUGGGGGAACCCCUGAUGCAGCGACGCCGCGUGAGUGAAGAAGUAUUUCGGUACGUAAAGCUCUAUCAGCCGGGAAGAAAAAAAGUCCUUUGGACUUUGGACGGUACCUGACCAAGAAGCCCCGGCUAACUACGUGCCAGCAGCCGCGGUAAUACGUAGGGGGCAAGCGUUCUCCGGAUUUACUGGGGGUAAAGGGAGCGUAGACGGCAGCGCAAGUCUGGAGUGAAAUGCCGGGGCCCAACCCCGGAACUGCUUUGGAAACUGUGCAGGUGGAGUGCAGGAGAGGUAAGCGGAAUUCCUAGUGUAGCGGUGAAAUGCGUAGAUAUUAGGAGGAACACCAGUGGCGAAGGCGGCUUACUGGACUGUAACUGACGUUGAGGCUCGAAAGCGUGGGGAGCAAACAGGAUUAGAUACCCUAGUAGUC